This 605-nucleotide ribosomal RNA is filed under the name uncultured Actinomycetes bacterium. Its description in RNAcentral is "bacterial SSU rRNA". It matches the Rfam family "Bacterial small subunit ribosomal RNA", at positions 252 to 866 of the family's 1533-position model. Lineage: Bacteria; Bacillati; Actinomycetota; Actinomycetes. The record is from RNAcentral.
GUGGGGUAAUGGCUCACCAAGGCGACGACGGGUAGCCGGCCUGAGAGGGUGACCGGCCACACUGGGACUGAGACACGGCCCAGACUCCUACGGGAGGCAGCAGUGGGGAAUAUUGCACAAUGGGCGGAAGCCUGAUGCAGCGACGCCGCGUGAGGGAUGACGGCCUUCGGGUUGUAAACCUCUUUCAGUAGGGAAGAAGCGAGAGUGACGGUACCUGCAGAAGAAGCGCCGGCUAACUACGUGCCAGCAGCCGCGGUAAUACGUAGGGCGCAAGCGUUGUCCGGAAUUAUUGGGCGUAAAGAGCUCGUAGGCGGUGUGUCGCGUCGGCCGUGAAAACCUGCAGCUUAACUGUGGGCGUGCGGUCGAUACGGGCAUCACUGGAGUUCGGCAGGGGAGACUGGAAUUCCUGGUGUAGCGGUGAAAUGCGCAGAUAUCAGGAGGAACACCGGUGGCGAAGGCGGGUCUCUGGGCCGAUACUGACGCUGAGGAGCGAAAGCGUGGGGAGCGAACAGGAUUAGAUACCCUGGUAGUCCACGCCGUAAACGUUGGGCGCUAGGUGUGGGGACCAUUCCACGGUUUCUGUGCCGCAGCUAAUGCAUUAAGCG